GAUUAGUGGCGAACGGGUGAGUAACACGUGGGCAAUCUGCCCUUCACUCUGGGACAAGCCCUGGAAACGGGGUCUAAUACCGGAUAACACUCCUGCAGGCAUCUGUGGGGGUUAAAAGCUCCGGCGGUGAAGGAUGAGCCCGCGGCCUAUCAGCUUGUUGGUGAGGUAGUGGCUCACCAAGGCGACGACGGGUAGCCGGCCUGAGAGGGCGACCGGCCACACUGGGACUGAGACACGGCCCAGACUCCUACGGGAGGCAGCAGUGGGGAAUAUUGCACAAUGGGCGAAAGCCUGAUGCAGCGACGCCGCGUGAGGGAUGACGGCCUUCGGGUUGUAAACCUCUUUCAGCAGGGAAGAAGCGAAAGUGACGGUACCUGCAGAAGAAGCGCCGGCUAACUACGUGCCAGCAGCCGCGGUAAUACGUAGGGCGCAAGCGUUGUCCGGAAUUAUUGGGCGUAAAGAGCUCGUAGGCGGUCUGUCGCGUCGGAUGUGAAAGCCCGGGGCUUAACCCCGGGUCUGCAUUCGAUACGGGCAGACUAGAGUGUGGUAGGGGAGAUCGGAAUUCCUGGUGUAGCGGUGAAAUGCGCAGAUAUCAGGAGGAACACCGGUGGCGAAGGCGGAUCUCUGGGCCAUUACUGACGCUGAGGAGCGAAAGCGUGGGGAGCGAACAGGAUUAGAUACCCUGGUAGUCCACGCCGUAAACGGUGGGAACUAGGUGUUGGCGACAUUCCACGUCGUCGGUGCCGCAGCUAACGCAUUAAGUUCCCCGCCUGGGGAGUACGGCCGCAGCUAAACUCAAAGGAAUUGACGGG
Molecule: ribosomal RNA, 812 nt
Filed under: Streptomyces sp.
Lineage: Bacteria; Bacillati; Actinomycetota; Actinomycetes; Kitasatosporales; Streptomycetaceae
Description: bacterial SSU rRNA
Rfam family: Bacterial small subunit ribosomal RNA
Source: RNAcentral